GCCUUAGUGGCGCACGGGUGCGUAACGCGUGGGAAUCUGCCCCUUGGUUCGGAAUAACAGUUGGAAACGACUGCUAAUACCGGAUGACGACGUAAGUCCAAAGAUUUAUCGCCGAGGGAUGAGCCCGCGUAAGAUUAGCUAGUUGGUGUGGUAAAGGCGCACCAAGGCGACGAUCUUUAGCUGGUCUGAGAGGAUGAUCAGCCACACUGGGACUGAGACACGGCCCAGACUCCUACGGGAGGCAGCAGUGGGGAAUAUUGGACAAUGGGCGAAAGCCUGAUCCAGCAAUGCCGCGUGAGUGAUGAAGGCCUUAGGGUUGUAAAGCUCUUUUACCCGGGAUGAUAAUGACAGUACCGGGAGAAUAAGCUCCGGCUAACUCCGUGCCAGCAGCCGCGGUAAUACGGAGGGAGCUAGCGUUAUUCGGAAUUACUGGGCGUAAAGCGCACGUAGGCGGCUUUGUAAGUUAGAGGUGAAAGCCUGGAGCUCAACUCCAGAAUUGCCUUUAAGACUGCAUCGCUUGAAUCCAGGAGAGGUGAGUGGAAUUCCGAGUGUAGAGGUGAAAUUCGUAGAUAUUCGGA
Molecule: ribosomal RNA, 578 nt
Filed under: uncultured Sphingomonas sp.
Lineage: Bacteria; Pseudomonadati; Pseudomonadota; Alphaproteobacteria; Sphingomonadales; Sphingomonadaceae
Description: bacterial SSU rRNA
Rfam family: Bacterial small subunit ribosomal RNA
Source: RNAcentral